This 2902-nucleotide ribosomal RNA is filed under the name Klebsiella pneumoniae. RNAcentral describes it as "23S ribosomal RNA". It matches the Rfam family "Bacterial large subunit ribosomal RNA". The record is from RNAcentral. Lineage: Bacteria; Pseudomonadati; Pseudomonadota; Gammaproteobacteria; Enterobacterales; Enterobacteriaceae.
GGUUAAGCGACUAAGCGUACACGGUGGAUGCCCUGGCAGUCAGAGGCGAUGAAGGACGUGCUAAUCUGCGAAAAGCGUCGGUAAGGUGAUAUGAACCGUUAUAACCGGCGAUGUCCGAAUGGGGAAACCCAGUGUGAUUCGUCACACUAUCGUUAACUGAAUACAUAGGUUAACGAGGCGAACCGGGGGAACUGAAACAUCUAAGUACCCCGAGGAAAAGAAAUCAACCGAGAUUCCCCCAGUAGCGGCGAGCGAACGGGGAGCAGCCCAGAGUCUGAAUCAGCUUGUGUGUUAGUGGAACGGUCUGGAAAGUCCGACGGUACAGGGUGAUAGUCCCGUACACCAAAAUGCACAGGCUGUGAACUCGAAGAGUAGGGCGGGACACGUGGUAUCCUGUCUGAAUAUGGGGGGACCAUCCUCCAAGGCUAAAUACUCCUGACUGACCGAUAGUGAACCAGUACCGUGAGGGAAAGGCGAAAAGAACCCCGGCGAGGGGAGUGAAAAAGAACCUGAAACCGUGUACGUACAAGCAGUGGGAGCACCUUCGGGUGUGACUGCGUACCUUUUGUAUAAUGGGUCAGCGACUUAUAUUCUGUAGCAAGGUUAACCGUAUAGGGGAGCCGCAGGGAAACCGAGUCUUAACUGGGCGUUAAGUUGCAGGGUAUAGACCCGAAACCCGGUGAUCUAGCCAUGGGCAGGUUGAAGGUUGGGUAACACUAACUGGAGGACCGAACCGACUAAUGUUGAAAAAUUAGCGGAUGACUUGUGGCUGGGGGUGAAAGGCCAAUCAAACCGGGAGAUAGCUGGUUCUCCCCGAAAGCUAUUUAGGUAGCGCCUCGUGAAUUCAUCUUCGGGGGUAGAGCACUGUUUCGGCUAGGGGGUCAUCCCGACUUACCAACCCGAUGCAAACUACGAAUACCGAAGAAUGUUAUCACGGGAGACACACGGCGGGUGCUAACGUCCGUCGUGAAGAGGGAAACAACCCAGACCGCCAGCUAAGGUCCCAAAGUCAUGGUUAAGUGGGAAACGAUGUGGGAAGGCACAGACAGCCAGGAUGUUGGCUUAGAAGCAGCCAUCAUUUAAAGAAAGCGUAAUAGCUCACUGGUCGAGUCGGCCUGCGCGGAAGAUGUAACGGGGCUAAACCAUGCACCGAAGCUGCGGCAGCGACACUAUGUGUUGUUGGGUAGGGGAGCGUUCUGUAAGCCUGCGAAGGUGACCUGUGAGGGUUGCUGGAGGUAUCAGAAGUGCGAAUGCUGACAUAAGUAACGAUAAAGCGGGUGAAAAGCCCGCUCGCCGGAAGACCAAGGGUUCCUGUCCAACGUUAAUCGGGGCAGGGUGAGUCGACCCCUAAGGCGAGGCCGAAAGGCGUAGUCGAUGGGAAACAGGUUAAUAUUCCUGUACUUGGUGUUACUGCGAAGGGGGGACGGAGAAGGCUAUGUUAGCCGGGCGACGGUUGUCCCGGUUUAAGCAUGUAGGCUGGUUAUCCAGGCAAAUCCGGAUAAUCAAGGCUGAGGUGUGAUGACGAGGCACUACGGUGCUGAAGUAACAAAUGCCCUGCUUCCAGGAAAAGCCUCUAAGCAUCAGGUAACAUCAAAUCGUACCCCAAACCGACACAGGUGGUCAGGUAGAGAAUACCAAGGCGCUUGAGAGAACUCGGGUGAAGGAACUAGGCAAAAUGGUGCCGUAACUUCGGGAGAAGGCACGCUGGUGUGUAGGUGAAGUCCCUGCGGAUGGAGCUGAGACCAGUCGAAGAUACCAGCUGGCUGCAACUGUUUAUUAAAAACACAGCACUGUGCAAACACGAAAGUGGACGUAUACGGUGUGACGCCUGCCCGGUGCCGGAAGGUUAAUUGAUGGGGUUAUCCGUAAGGAGAAGCUCUUGAUCGAAGCCCCGGUAAACGGCGGCCGUAACUAUAACGGUCCUAAGGUAGCGAAAUUCCUUGUCGGGUAAGUUCCGACCUGCACGAAUGGCGUAAUGAUGGCCAGGCUGUCUCCACCCGAGACUCAGUGAAAUUGAACUCGCUGUGAAGAUGCAGUGUACCCGCGGCAAGACGGAAAGACCCCGUGAACCUUUACUAUAGCUUGACACUGAACAUUGAGCCUUGAUGUGUAGGAUAGGUGGGAGGCUUUGAAGCGUGGACGCCAGUCUGCGUGGAGCCAACCUUGAAAUACCACCCUUUAAUGUUUGAUGUUCUAACGUUGGCCCCUUAUCGGGGUUGCGGACAGUGUCUGGUGGGUAGUUUGACUGGGGCGGUCUCCUCCCAAAGCGUAACGGAGGAGCACGAAGGUUAGCUAAUCCUGGUCGGACAUCAGGAGGUUAGUGCAAUGGCAUAAGCUAGCUUGACUGCGAGCGUGACGGCGCGAGCAGGUGCGAAAGCAGGUCAUAGUGAUCCGGUGGUUCUGAAUGGAAGGGCCAUCGCUCAACGGAUAAAAGGUACUCCGGGGAUAACAGGCUGAUACCGCCCAAGAGUUCAUAUCGACGGCGGUGUUUGGCACCUCGAUGUCGGCUCAUCACAUCCUGGGGCUGAAGUAGGUCCCAAGGGUAUGGCUGUUCGCCAUUUAAAGUGGUACGCGAGCUGGGUUUAGAACGUCGUGAGACAGUUCGGUCCCUAUCUGCCGUGGGCGCUGGAGAAUUGAGGGGGGCUGCUCCUAGUACGAGAGGACCGGAGUGGACGCAUCACUGGUGUUCGGGUUGUCAUGCCAAUGGCACUGCCCGGUAGCUAAAUGCGGAAGAGAUAAGUGCUGAAAGCAUCUAAGCACGAAACUUGCCCCGAGAUGAGUUCUCCCUGAGACUUUAAGUCUCCUGAAGGAACGUUGAAGACGACGACGUUGAUAGGCCGGGUGUGUAAGCGCAGCGAUGCGUUGAGCUAACCGGUACUAAUGAACCGUGAGGCUUAACCUU